UUCUUCCCUUAAUUGACUACUGCUGUAUUAUUUGGGGUGAAUGUAAAAAUGAAGGGAUAACAAGAAUUUUAAAACUCCAAAAAAGGGCAGCAAGAUUAAUUCUAGAUGCAGAUCCUUUAUCCCCCUCAGCCCCCUUAUUUAAAAAAACUUGGGUGGAUGACAGUUGACAAUAGAAUAAAACACCACAAAUAUUUACUUCUAUAUAAAUGUAUGCGUAUGGAAGCACCAGUGUACCUAGUUCAAAAGUUUAAACUCAAAUCAGAUAAUAAUCCUUACUCCUUAAGAGGUGUCACUCAAGGUAAUCUGAUAGUUCCUAAGCCAAAAGCUGAACUAUUUUAGAAAUCCUUUGCUUAUUCUGGAUCAGUAUUAUGGAAUGGACUACCACACACAAUGCGUAAAGCUCAAAACACUUUUACUUUUAAGCAAAGUAUCAAGAAGUACCUAACACAACCCUGAUAAGAAAUGUUUGCUACAAUGUAUUUGUAUAUUUUUUAUUUUUUAUUUUCAUUUGAUUUUUUGACUACAUGUAUACAUCUUAAACAGCAUUAUAUCUUAUGUUAAUAACAAUACAUUGAACUACAUGAGUGUAAAUUAACUAUGUGUAAAUAUCUGUUUUGAUUGUAUUGUAAUUUGUAUGUGAGGGCCUCAGGGAAGAUUAGUUUAUUGUAACUAACUGAGUUUACCCUCUUUAAAUAAAGAAUUUAUUAUUAUUAUUAUUAUUAUUGAAAAUUGCUUGCUAUUGCACAAUACUGUGCAAUUGAAGAUUUCUUGCUAUUGCUGAUUACUGUGCAAUUGAAAAUGUCUUGCUAUUGCACAAUACUUAAUAUAAUAAUUUUGGAUCCUGAUUUGAACCAACUUGAAAACUGGGCCCAUAAUAAAAAAUCUAAGUACAAAUCAUGUAUAUGUUUAGAUUCAGCAUAUCAAAAAAGCCCAAGAAUUCAAUUUUUGUUAAAAUCAAACUUAGUUUAAUUUUGGACCCUUUGGACUUUAAUGUAG
This 996-nucleotide long non-coding RNA is filed under the name Mytilus galloprovincialis (Mediterranean mussel). Lineage: Eukaryota; Metazoa; Mollusca; Bivalvia; Mytilida; Mytilidae. The record is from RNAcentral.